AUACGGAGGAUGCAAGCGUUAUCCGGAUUUAUUGGGUUUAAAGGGUGCGUAGGCUGUUUUCCAAGUCAGCGGUGAAAUGCCGGGGCUCAACCCCGGAACUGCCAUUGAUACUGGGAGGCUUGAAUGCGGAUGCCGUGGGAGGAAUGAGUAGUGUAGCGGUGAAAUGCAUAGAUAUUACUCAGAACACCGAUUGCGAAGGCAUCUCACGAAUCCGCUAUUGACGCUGAGGCACGAAAGCGUGGGGAUCAAACAGGAUUAGAUACCCUGGUAGUCCACGCAGUAAACGAUGAUAACUAACUGCCGGCGAUAGAGUGUCGGUGGCCAAGCGAAAGCGAUAAGUUAUCCACCUGGGGAGUACGACCGCAAGGUUGAAACUCAAAUGAAUUGACGGGG
This 393-nucleotide ribosomal RNA is filed under the name uncultured bacterium. RNAcentral's name for it is "partial 16S ribosomal RNA". It matches the Rfam family "Bacterial small subunit ribosomal RNA", at positions 523 to 918 of the family's 1533-position model. The record is from RNAcentral.